This 253-nucleotide unclassified non-coding RNA is filed under the name uncultured Caryophanaceae bacterium. Its description in RNAcentral is "uncultured Planococcaceae bacterium contains 16S-23S intergenic spacer region". It matches the Rfam family "Bacterial small subunit ribosomal RNA", at positions 524 to 776 of the family's 1533-position model. The record is from RNAcentral. Lineage: Bacteria; Bacillati; Bacillota; Bacilli; Caryophanales; Caryophanaceae.
UACGUAGGUGGCAAGCGUUGUCCGGAAUUAUUGGGCGUAAAGCGCGCGCAGGCGGUCCCUUAAGGCUGUUGUGUAAGCCAACGGCUCCACCGCGGAGGGUCAUUGGAAACUGGCGGACUUGAGUGCAGAAGAGGAAAGUGGAAUUCCAUGUGUAGCGGUGAAAUGCGUAGAGAUGUGGAGGAACACCAGUGGCGAAGGCGACUUUCUGGUCAGUAACUGACGCUGAGGCGCGAAAGCGUGGGGAGCAAACAGG